GGGCCCGCACAAGCGGCGGAGCAUGCGGAUUAAUUCGAUGCAACGCGAAGAACCUUACCUGGGUUUGACAUAGGCCGGAAAGCUGCAGAGAUGCAGCCCCCGCAAGGUCGGUUUACAGGUGGUGCAUGGCUGUCGUCAGCUCGUGUCGUGAGAUGUUGGGUUAAGUCCCGCAACGAGCGCAACCCUCGUUCUAUGUUGCCAGCACGUAAUGGUGGGGACUCAUAGGAGACUGCCGGGGUCAACUCGGAGGAAGGUGGGGAUGACGUCAAGUCAUCAUGCCCCUUAAGUCCAGGGCUUCACGCAUGCUACAAUGGCUGGUACAAAGGGCUGCGAUACCGCAAGGUGGAGCGAAUCCCAAAAAGCCAGUCUCAGUUCGGAUUGGGGUCUGCAACUCGACCCCAUGAAGUCGGAGUCGCUAGUAAUCGCAGA
Molecule: ribosomal RNA, 429 nt
Filed under: uncultured Actinomycetes bacterium
Lineage: Bacteria; Bacillati; Actinomycetota; Actinomycetes
Description: bacterial SSU rRNA
Rfam family: Bacterial small subunit ribosomal RNA
Source: RNAcentral